CCUACGGGGGGCUGCAGUGGGGAAUAUUGGACAAUGGGCGAAAGCCUGAUCCAGCCAUGCCGCGUGUGUGAAGAAGGCCUUCGGGUUGUAAAGCACUUUCAGUGGGGAAGAAAGCCUUGGGGCUAAUACCCUCGAGGAAGGACAUCACCCACAGAAGAAGCACCGGCUAACUCCGUGCCAGCAGCCGCGGUAAUACGGAGGGUGCGAGCGUUAAUCGGAAUUACUGGGCGUAAAGCGCGCGUAGGCGGUCUGAUAAGCCGGUUGUGAAAGCCCCGGGCUCAACCUGGGAACGGCAUCCGGAACUGUCAGGCUAGAGUGCAGGAGAGGAAGGUAGAAUUCCCGGUGUAGCGGUGAAAUGCGUAGAGAUCGGGAGGAAUACCAGUGGCGAAGGCGGCCUUCUGGACUGACACUGACGCUGAGGUGCGAAAGCGUGGGUAGCAAACAGGAUUAGAUACCCAGUAGUC
This 464-nucleotide ribosomal RNA is filed under the name Vreelandella stevensii. RNAcentral's name for it is "partial 16S ribosomal RNA". It matches the Rfam family "Bacterial small subunit ribosomal RNA", at positions 338 to 795 of the family's 1533-position model. The record is from RNAcentral. Lineage: Bacteria; Pseudomonadati; Pseudomonadota; Gammaproteobacteria; Oceanospirillales; Halomonadaceae.